Long non-coding RNA from Bubalus bubalis (water buffalo), 885 nucleotides. RefSeq lists it as uncharacterized. The transcript has 2 exons. NCBI's taxonomy places the organism in Eukaryota, Metazoa, Chordata, Mammalia, Artiodactyla, Bovidae. The record is from RefSeq and is a predicted model, not a curated record.
UAAUCGAGAGAGGAAGCGGGGGAGGGGGCUGUGGCAAGUAGAGAGAGAGACAAAGCGGAUGCGAAAUCUCAGCCACGAGCAGCUGCAACCUUCGGGAAUCGCGAGUAAAACAAGUUUUCCUGGGUAGCUGUGUCUGCGUCUUGAGCAGAGUCCGGUGCUGAGGGACCUUUCUGGGGUGGGUGGGGACAGCGCGGCCCCCCAGGUGUGCUCUCUGCGUUGCGGGAGCCGACGUGAGGCUCGGCGAAGAGACAACGGGCGAGACGGGUGUUAGUGGUUCGCGCCCUGGGCGCACACAGCCUGCCCGCUGGGCGAGAUACCUGGAAAGAGGACAGUGGCGAGGUUGUGUUAGGUAGGAGUUCAGCAGAGAAAUGGUUCAGCCUAUACACGUUUGAAGCGCCGCGUGCCACGAAGAGGAAACGUGAUCAGAAAAUCUCGAACGGCAAUCACUAUUUAUGAAACCCAUUUUUGAUCUUUGUACCAAGGGCUUAUCUUUCCACGGGGAGCUGAAAUGCCUGUUUUUAUUGGCCAUUUGUAAUAAAGUAUAUGAAUGAACUGUAGAGAUUACCGGUCCAGCCCCCCGCCCUUUUUUUUACGGAUUGGGAAUCUGAGGCCCAGGGAGAUCUGAAGUGAACUGUCCAGCUCGAGGGCACACUGCUACUUGCAAUGGCUAGAGUGGAGAUCCUCACUUCCCAGCUUUCUUUUAAAUAUUAGACGCAGAAAUGGUUUAACAGGCAGAGGAGGCUCCCCCCGGCGCGCCCAGAAUCCAGAGACUAGAAAUCAAGGCCCUCUAGGUCCUUUAACCCCACUUUCCUUUAACCACGGUCCCUCCAGGUAUUCGCGCUGAGAAAUUUCGCUCCUUGCAAACAAAGGAAGACAGUGCCCUCU